GUGGAUUAGAUACCCUGGUAGUCCACGCCGUAAACGAUGAGUGCUAGGUGUCACGGGCUUUGACCCUCGUGGUGCCGCAGCUAACGCGUUAAGCACUCCGCCUGGGGAGUACGGCCGCAAGGCUAAAACUCAAAGGAAUUGACGGGGGCCCGCACAAGCGGUGGAGCAUGUUGUUCAAUUCGACGCAACGCGAAGAACCUUACCUGGGCUAGAAAGUACGAGAAUCCGGGCGAAAGUUCGGAGUGCCUUUCGGGGAACUCGUAGUUAGGUGCUGCAUGGUCGUCGUCAACU
RNAcentral lists this ribosomal RNA (291 nucleotides) under uncultured bacterium. RNAcentral's name for it is "partial 16S ribosomal RNA". It matches the Rfam family "Bacterial small subunit ribosomal RNA", at positions 773 to 1060 of the family's 1533-position model. The record is from RNAcentral.